This 499-nucleotide ribosomal RNA is filed under the name uncultured bacterium. Its description in RNAcentral is "partial 16S ribosomal RNA". It matches the Rfam family "Bacterial small subunit ribosomal RNA", at positions 28 to 507 of the family's 1533-position model. The record is from RNAcentral.
GACGAACGCUGGCGGCGUGCUUAACACAUGCAAGUCGAACGGGCCCGCCCCUGUUUUUGGGGGUGGGUUGAGUGGCGAACGGGUGAGUAUCACGUGAGUAACCUGCCCCCUGCUCCUGGAUAACUGCUUGAAAGGGCGGCUAAUACGGGGUGUGCCGGCUGGUCCGCAUGGGCCCGGUCGGGAUAGUUUCAUCUUCGGGUGUUUCGGUGGGGGAUGGGCUCGCGGCCUAUCAGCUUGUUGGUGGGGUGAUGGCCCACCAAGGCGGUGACGGGUAGCCGGCCUGAGAGGGUGGGCGGCCACACGGGGACUGAGACACGGCCCAGACUCCUGCGGGAGGCAGCAGUGGGGGGUAUUGCACAAUGGGCGGAAGCCUGAUGCAGCGACGUCGCGUGAGGGAUGGAGGCCUUCGGGUUGUGAACCUCUUUCUCCGGUGGUGAAGGCCCUGUCCGUUGCGGCGGGGUUGACGGUAGCCGGGUAUGAAGCGCCGGCUAACUACGUG